AAACUCCCUUGACGGUACUUAAUGAAUAAGCCCCGGCUAAUUAUGUGCCAGCAGCCGCGGUAAUACAUAAGGGGCGAGCGUUAUCCGGAAUUAUUGGGCGUAAAGGGUGCGUAGGCGGUUUAAUAAGUCUAUAGUUUAAUUUCAGUGCUUAACGCUGUUGUGCUAUAGAAACUGUUUUACUAGAGUGAGUUAGAGGCAAGCGGAAUUCCAUGUGUAGCGGUAAAAUGCGUAAAUAUAUGGAGGAACACCAGAGGCGUAGGCGGCUUGCUGGGACUUUACUGACGCUGAGGCACGAAAGCGUGGGGAGCAAACAGGAUUAGAUACCCUGGUAGUCCACACCGUAAACGAUGAGUACUAAGUGUCGGGUAAAACCGGUACUGAAGUUAACACAUUAAGUACUCCGCCUGAGUAGUACGUACGCAAGUAUGAAACUUAAAGGAAUUGACGGGACUCCGCACAAGCGGUGGAUCAUGUUGUUUAAUUCGAAGAUACACGAAAAACCUUACCAGGUCUUGACAUUUUCUUGCGAAGUUAUAGAAAUAUAAUGGAGGUUAUCAGGAAAACAGGUGGUGCAUGGUUGUCGUCAGCUCGUGUCGUGAGAUGUUAGGUUAAGUCCUAAAACGAGCGCAACCCUUGUCGUUAAUUGCCAGCAUGUAAUGAUGGGGACUUUAACGAGACUGCCAAUGAAAAAUUGGAGGAAGGUGGGGAUUACGUCAAAUCAUCAUGCCCCUUAUGAUCUGGGCUACAAACGUGAUACAAUGGUUGAUACAAAGAGUAGCUGAAACGCGAGUUCUUAGCCAAUCUCACAA
This 809-nucleotide ribosomal RNA is filed under the name Cassava frogskin disease phytoplasma. RNAcentral's name for it is "bacterial SSU rRNA". It matches the Rfam family "Bacterial small subunit ribosomal RNA", at positions 461 to 1279 of the family's 1533-position model. Lineage: Bacteria; Bacillati; Mycoplasmatota; Mollicutes; Acholeplasmatales; Acholeplasmataceae. The record is from RNAcentral.